CCCAAGUUAUCCAAUCAUUCUUUGAUCAUGAUAGGGUGAUUAACCACGAUGGUCACACCUUGUCUUUGCUAUCAAUUCAAGUCACAGAGCUUGUGGACGGCAUCUUCAUUGGAUGUUCCAUAAAUCACAGCAUGGUUGAUGGAACCUCUUUCUGGCAUUUCUUCAACGCAUGGUCUGAGGUAUUCACUGCACAGGAGAAGAAUAGUCCCAUAACACUGUCACGCCCACCCAUCCUCAAGCGCUGGUUUCCUGAUGGCUAUGGUCCAAUUAUCAACCUUCCUUUCACUCACCAUGAUGAGUUCAUCAGCAGAUUUGAAGCACCCGUACUCAGAGAGAGAAUUUUCCACUUCUCAUCAGAAUCAAUAGCAAAGCUCAAAGCAAAGGCAAAUGCACAGUGCAACAGCAACAAAAUCUCCUCUUUCCAGGCAUUGUCCGCACUUGUCUGGAGGUCCAUAACACGAGCGCGCUGUUUCCCACAUGAGCAGGUAACCAGUUGCAGGCUGGCCAUCGGUAACAGAACAAGAUUGGACCCGCCCUUGCCGGAGAACUACUUUGGGAACUCAAUUCAAACGGUGAGAGGCAUUGCCACUGCUGGUGAACUGCUUGAACAUGAUCUUGGGUGGGCAGCCUGGCUCUUGCACCAGGCUGUGGUCGGUCACACUGACAAAGCUGUGCGUGGCUGGCUUGAGUCAUGGUUUCAAUCCCACUUUAUUUAUCAGUUAGGCCUGUUUUUUGACCCCAAUAGCGUAAUGAUGGGGAGCUCGCCCAGAUUUAACAAGUAUGGAAUUGAGUUUGGACUAGGGAAAGGAUUGGCAGUUCGGAGCGGUUACGCACACAAGUUCGAUGGGACAGUGUCAUGUUACCCGGGACGUGAAGGAGGAGGAAGCAUAGAUUUGGAGGUGUGCCUACCGCCAAACUCGAUGAGUGCUCUUGAAUCCAACCAGGAGUUCAUGGAGGCUGUCUCUUUGUCCCCUUAGGUACUUAGUUUUCACAUAUGUAAUCUGCAUAAACUAAUGAUGUAAACUUCAUUAGUCUCUGUUUUUCUGUUUCUUCCUUGAAUAAGCACUUGUCUAUGUACGGACGUCCUUCAUAUAUUGCAAAUUCAGAUAAUAUGAUGUGAUAUCGAGGCAAAGUAAUUAUAAAGCAAAUGUUAAGUUGUUAUGUCAAGCUACCAAACAGUUCCACAUCAUAUCUGCUAAACCUAAUAUAAGACUAUAUGCCCCCUCCACGCACAACAAAGAUAGGACUUUAUAGAAGGAUGGUCAGCUUAUCUUAUGGAAGGUCAAAGCUCGACUUAUUUAAUGGUUAUUCAAUUCACUUCAUCUGUAAACAUGGACAUUUCGGACUAGAUGCCAGCCACUCUAAUAAUUGAGCAAUGAACUCCAGUUUCCAGCUGCAGAUUUCAGUACUCCAUAUUUAACUAGCAAGAAUAUUAUUGAUUGAUUUAAGCUUUCCCUCCUGCAAAAUUAGCAUACAACAGAUACGCGGUGAAGAGCUGUUAACAGCUUCAUCACACCCCAAGAGUCAAAGGCCAUGAGAACCCAAUUUUUUGGACUUUAUUUGCUAGUUCUCAUCAACCAUAGGCUAUAGCACCAUGAGGGACUUUAUUUGGAAUUUGGUAGUAGGAGCAAAAUUCAAACGGAGAAAAAAAAUAAUCAGAUUAUAGAAUGAAAUUGACUACUUACAUCAUCAACAUUGAGAGGCUCCUUGAGAUGUCACACCAUCUGCAGAGUGGUUUAACAAACAGAAUCCUAGCUUUCUCAUUUUGGUGGUCUGUGAAGUACCUAGCUCCCGUUAUAACAGUCCAGGUAACAUAUCACUAAACUCAUGCUUUUAUGUGGAAAAAACUAUUAAAUAAGUUAGUAGUACUUGCAUCCAAAAAUAUAAAGACCUGAGAUCAGACCUUGGGAGUUGUAACCUCAUUAAACUGCACAUGCGCCUAUGGGAAAGAAAAAGAGGAAAAUUAAGUUGUUCUUGAUGCCAUCAAUUAACAACAGCAAAUUGAGCAGUGGAAGUCCAUUGGAAAUGGGAGACAAACUACAUUUUGUAUGAAUAACAAUAACAGAAUAAUACAAACCAGCUAAAAGUUGAGCCCCAUCGAUUCUUCAGUGGGAUGAUCAAGGGGGUAUGAAAAAGCAACCAAAGAUCAAUCCUUCAGAAGUUCAAAAAGAUUAGGGACAGAGCAGAGUAGAAACGAAGUCAAACAGGCCUUACUAAAUCCUAGUGCAGGAAAGCUAAGCAUUCCCCUUGAAUGGUCCUAAAAUUUACAUGUCAUGCAAAAGUGAGGAGCACAGAUAACUUUCUAAAUUUAAAUCUAACAAGAAACUGAAUAUCAGCCCGCUAGCAUGGACAAAAAGUCAAUAAUCUCAGACUAAAAGAGGAGAAAAUAAUUUUUCAGGACAGUAGUUAUUUCAAGAGGCUGAGAAGUUUCCCCGAAACCUCUUUGUAUGCCCACGCACUGAUAGCUAUCCGAUUUUGUCCUAUUUAUUGCAUAUAAACUGCAUCCCCUUGACGGCUGAAAUGCCGAAACUGCAAGAAAUCAUUAAGGAAAUAAAAUAAAUACAAUAAAGGGAAAAGCUACUUCAAUGUUGAAGAAUUUCUGUGUGAGAAACCUACAGGACAUUAGCGAUAAUUACAAUGCAAUUUGGUUGUUAUAUGAGGGCCCAAGAAAGACAACCAGAGAAGCUUCAAGAAGACAUGAUGUUAGAAGCUGAUAUUCAACCAUGAAGAUCCUUUGAAAGGCCCAAGAAAGACAACCAGAAAAAGCCUCAUGAUGUUUAGCAGCUGAUAUUCAACCAUGAAGAUCCUUUGAAAGGCCCAAGAAAGACAACCAGAAAAAGCUUCAGGAUGUUAGCAGCUGAUAUUCAAUCAUGAGGAUCCUUUCAAAUCUGUGUACCCCUCAGAGCUUAGCUUCAGCCAAAUGUUCCAUGAGGGCCUUUUUGAGGAAAGGGAUCGCUCUUAAAACAUUGAAUGAAGCAUGGCCACAAGUUAGAGCCUAACUUAGAUUCUUCAAAGCAAUCUCAUAUACAUUCCAAAGCUUUUACUGAGCUUUCCUCGUUUAAAUGGUAUCACAGCCACUCCCCAGUGGGACUGUUAGCAGGCUUAAACCCUUUUCCCUCUAUAACUCCUUCCCAACUAAAGCAUUUCCAGAUUCACAUUCUUAUUAACUUCCACAAUUAUUAACUGUCUCCAUUGAUCGUCAAGAACAUGUAGCAAUCAACUGAGUAAUUCGCAACCCUUAGAGCAUCAUAUACAUUACGAGCCUAAAUCCUUGCAACUGAACCUUUCAGAAAAAUUGGUAGUUUAGCAUUGUAUUAGAACAAAGAUGAACUUGACGGCUGGACCUGAUCUUUUGUUUUCUAUAAAAUUGAAAUACUUAUGUCAUAAAAUUCAGUAAUGUACCAUCCUUAUUUAAUUUUUUUUAUUUUUUUAUUUUUCUGUUGUCAUGGUGCACCGUUGAAUUGAAUCAUGGACACCGCUGGACAAGCAUACGACGACUGUAAGAAUUUUAUCUCGAGAUUUUUUUUGACAAGUGGCUUUCGAGUUAGGGGCAACUACCAAGCGAAUUUAGAAUACGGAUACAAGUUGGCCUUUCAAUAUUGAAUUAUGCAGAUGAUGGGUGAUGCUUCCGGGGUCACGUUGGUAAAAAAAACACAAGAAAUGAGCAACCCUACGAUACUUCCUUUACUGCAAAACAAUUAAGCUUAUGUUGCGACUUGUGACUUCUUAGCAGUCAAAACACUGUUCAUAUUUUGACUUCAACCGCGGAAAAGGUCAAAAUGAUAUUUCAAGGACAAUAAUUAAAAGAAUUGACCUGCCCCUCAGCCCCUCCUUCCGCCUGUCUGGAGGUCCAUAACACAAGCACGCUGUUUACCACAUGAACAGGAAAUCAGUUGCUGCUUGGCCGUCAAUAACAGAACAAGAUUGGACCCGCCCUUGCCGGAGAACUACUUCGGGAACUCCAUUCAUACAGCCAAUGCCCAUUUCAGCUUUGGCUUCAGCUCUUGCAAAUGCAACACCUGAUCAGCAAAGAACAGUAUGCCCAUUACCCUAAUUAUUGAUGAUACCUUAGUUUGCGUUGUAUUAGUAGCCUUUUACGUAAUUUUCUUUUUCUUCUGCUCUCAUUAUUGUCGAUACCUUAGUUUGCAUUGUAUUAGGAGCCUAAUUUCUUUUAUUUUAUUUUAUUUUUUAUGGUGCUCAUGUUGUUGUUUCCGUUUUUAUUUUUAUGGUGGCUAGAUGCUGGGCGAAAGUUUGUACCCUCUCGUGGAUCAGCUGGAGCAUGAGAUGGCAGCCAAAGUGACAGGCAUGCUUCUGGAUAUGGGCCAGACUGAGUUUUUGCAUCUGCUCGAGUCGCCAGAGGCUUUGAAGUCCAAGGUUGCGGAGGCCAUGGACGUCCUGAGGAAUGUUGCUCAGCAGCAGGCUAACAGACCGAACAACUAUCCUCACUGUCCCUGAAUGAUAGCCUUGUUCCCUGAGUGUGUUGGGUGGGACUUGAAUGUGGUUCCAGCAGUUUAAAUUAAGUUUCUCUGCUAGUGAAGGCUCUAGAUUUCAUUUGAUAUGGAGUUACAUUAGCCAUAGAAUUCUGAAGUUUGAAACAUAUUGUGUGUGCUGGUUUUUGGUGAUAAAGUUUGGGAUGCUAUAUACUCUAUGUUUUGAUAUUGACAAUAGAGUGUUCUAUUGAGCAAUUUAUUAUGUGGGUAAUGUCAUGCAUGAUAUCCAUCCUCCAAAUACCUUUUAAAAGAAUGGGUCCAUCUAUGGCUGCCAGUCUUUCUUGCAGGGCAACCUUUAAGAAAGGAGAGCCAUAAUUUUUGCAAAACCGAUUCAGAAUAAUAAUGGUUAAGUUGUCUUUUCAACAUUUUGAUAUUAUUGUUAUGCAGGUUAUGCUUCUACAUCUAGUUUAAUUCAAUAAAAGGACACCGUGAAAGGUGUAAGACAAAACAAGAAAAAGAGCAUGUCUACAACACAUCCUUACUGCAAGUCUGCAAAGCAAUUAGGGCUGUGUUCUGAGCAGUCAAAACACUGGUUUAUACCUACAGGUUAUUAUUAUUACAACUUAAAUUCACAGCAUUGUUUCAUAUUUUGAUUGGAUCUAGUCUUUAUCAGCAACUGCGGGGAAAAGGGUAAAAUUACAUUACAAGGACAGUCGUUAAAAUAAUUGUCCUGCUCAUAUGCAGCUACAUCAACCAGAGCCACCCAUUAAGAAUGGAAGGGAGAAGCUGAAGAUAAGCUAUUGGCUUCCCUGAACAGAGGAACUCCUCGGUGGUCUAAUGGCAACUCCGACUGUUCGGCUCAUCUCAGAAUGCUUUAUCAAACCAAAGUUCACUUCAGAAGAGACAAAGGAGCCCUGUUACCUCACACCAUGGGACCUUGCCAUGCUCUCCGUCAAUUAUAUCCAAAAGGGCCUUCUCUUUAGCAAACCACCUCUGUGGAUUAUCCACAAAACUUCAUGGCAACUCUCUUGGACAGGCUCAAGGAUUCUCUCGCUCUCACACUCGACCAUUUCUACCCACUUGCAGGCCGCCUUGCAACAAAGAAGGAGGACAGUUCACCCUCUUACGUGGUCUUUGUAGAUUGUAACAACAGUCCCGGAGCGAAAUUCAUCCACGCAGCUGCAUACAUGACACUAUCUGACAUCGUUUCACCAAUUUAUGUACCCCAAGUUAUCCAAUCAUUCUUUGAUCAUGAUAGGGUGAUUAACCACGAUGGUCGCACCUUGUCUUUGCUAUCAAUUCAAAUCACAGAGCUUGUGGACGGCAUCUUCAUUGGAUGUUCCAUAAAUCACAGCAUGGUUUAUGGAACCUCUUUCUGGCAUUUCUUCAAUGCAUGGUCUGAGGUAUUCACUGCACAGGGGAAGAAUAGUUCCAUAACACUGUCACGCCCACCCAUCCUCAAGCGUUGGUUUCCUGAUGGCUGUGGUCCAAUUAUCAACCUUCCUUUCACUCACCAUGAUGAGUUCAUCAGCAGAUAUGAAGCACCCGUUCUCAGAGAGAGAAUUUUCCACUUCUCAUCAGAAUCAAUAGCAAAGCUCAAAGCAAAGGCAAAUGC
RNAcentral lists this long non-coding RNA (6045 nucleotides) under Vitis vinifera (wine grape). RNAcentral describes it as "long non-coding RNA (VVIN_LNC006017)". The record is from RNAcentral. Lineage: Eukaryota; Viridiplantae; Streptophyta; Magnoliopsida; Vitales; Vitaceae.